Molecule: ribosomal RNA, 250 nt
Filed under: uncultured bacterium
Lineage: Bacteria
Description: partial 16S ribosomal RNA
Rfam family: Bacterial small subunit ribosomal RNA
Source: RNAcentral
UACGGAGGAUCCAAGCGUUAUCCGGAUUUAUUGGGUUUAAAGGGAGCGUAGGUUGACAUAUAAGUCAGCUGUGAAAGUUUACGGCUCAACCGUGAAAUUGCAGUUGAUACUGUACGUCUUGAGUGCAGAAGAGGAGAGUGGAAUUCCAUGUGUAGCGGUGAAAUGCUUAGAUAUCACGAAGAACUCCAAUUGCGAAGGCAGCUCACAGGACUGUAACUGACGCUGAUGCUCGAAAGUGUGGGUAUCAAAC